RNAcentral lists this transfer RNA (73 nucleotides) under Ogcocephalus nasutus (shortnose batfish). RNAcentral's name for it is "tRNA-Val". It matches the Rfam family "tRNA". Rfam says of the family: Transfer RNA (tRNA) molecules are approximately 80 nucleotides in length. Their secondary structure includes four short double-helical elements and three loops (D, anti-codon, and T loops). RNAcentral also lists the same sequence under 2 other names. Lineage: Eukaryota; Metazoa; Chordata; Actinopteri; Lophiiformes; Ogcocephalidae. The record is from RNAcentral.
CAGGACAUAGCCAAGAUAGCUAAAGCACCUCCCUUACACCGAGAUAUCACCCGUGCAAAUCGGGUUGUCCUGA